GCUUUGAUGCGCCCCAUUUGGCCCUGAGAGAUGCCACGUGAUCGUCAUUUUAAAUCCUAGCGCCAUCUCUGCAGUCUCCCCACGCCGGGUUCAGUCAGGCGAAGUUGCGUUAUCUGUGAUGUGUUGUAACAAAAAGCGUUUAUCUUUGAAACACUAAGACAAUUAAAGAAUUCUGUCAUCCC
Molecule: long non-coding RNA, 182 nt
Filed under: Homo sapiens (human)
Lineage: Eukaryota; Metazoa; Chordata; Mammalia; Primates; Hominidae
Description: AFDN divergent transcript
Source: RNAcentral